This is a long non-coding RNA of Cloeon dipterum, 446 nucleotides long. RefSeq lists it as uncharacterized. The record is from RefSeq and is a predicted model, not a curated record. The transcript is spliced from 4 exons. Lineage: Eukaryota; Metazoa; Arthropoda; Insecta; Ephemeroptera; Baetidae.
AAAUCGCCUCUGCCGAAAUCACCGCAAUCCGAUGGUUCGGUACAAAAGGCGAGCAAGUGCAACAGACAGUAUUUCGUCUCCACUGUUGCCGCAUCAAGAAAUGAGGCAGCUUCGCGGUGCACGGCGAUGAACAUGACCCUUUUGACCGUCACAUCUCUCGAGGAAUUGGACUGUCUGGCCAGUUUGAAGGACGGUACUUUCUGGACAAGUGGCUCAAACGAGGAUGCGAAUUGCGACUUGGAAAAAAAGUACGCUUGGUGUUCCACUGGCUACAACAUUUCCACCGCUUUGGUCUCGUCUCCGAGUUUCUGGCUUCCAACCAACGCACCCCCUUCCGCCCUAGAACGAUGUCUAGCCGUUGUCCUCUCCACCACCCCGCAAAAGGGGAUGGUGCACAAAAACUGCGUCGACCAACUUCCCUACAUCUGCCAAUUCACCGUUGACUG